UGUUGAAAAUGCAUAUAUUGGUAGCUUAGAAAUGAGUAGAACACUUGGUUCAUUUUCUGAAUAUUGUGAAUUAUGUACAUAAUAAUAUGUGCGGUUGUCUUUUUUAUCUCAAUUUUAAUCCCCUUUUUUGCCAUAUUCUAAUGCCUUUUUUCUAUUAAUUUUAAAUCCCUCUUUUGGCCAUACACAUUUGUAUAAGAUUGUUUGAAAGCAAAAUAUGAUUGUUAGGUCAAGUAGAAAGCAAAGUCGGCAAGUUCUUAGAGUUCUUCACCCAACAUAACAGCCGAUAAAAACAAAACAAUACGACCAAGCUGCUUAGGGUUGCAAAACCCGACCCCGCCUAGUAGGUCCUUAGAGUUCUUCACCAAGCAUGGCAGCCUGUAGAGAGGAAGAGAGAAAAAAAAGAGGGAGCCAAGCCAGCCGCUUAGGUCAUGUAAAAUGCGCGCCGAGAUCCCCCGGUUUCAGAAUUUUCGUGGGGAUCCUCUCCGCUUUUCUUGCCUAAGCAAAACCCGACCCCCGCCUAGUAGGUACUUAGAGUUCUUCACCCAGCGUGGCAGCCGGUAGAGAGGAGAGAGAGAAAAAAAGAGGGAGCCAAGCCAGCCGCUUAGGUCAAGUAAAAUGCGCGCCGAGAUCCCCGGUUUCAGAAUUUUCGUGGGGAUCCUCUCCGCUUUUCUUGCCUAAGCAAAACCCGACCCGCCUAGUAGGUCCUUAGAGUUCUUCACCCAGCAUGGCAGCCGGUAGAGAGAGAGAGAAAAAAAAGAGGGAGCCAAGCCAGCCGCUUAGGUCAUAAAAUGCGCGCCGAGAUCCCCCGGUUUCAGAAUUUUCGUGGGGAUCCUCUCCGCUUUUCUUGCCUAAGCAAAACCCGACCCCCGCCUAGUAGGUACUUAGAGUUCUUCACCCAGCGUGGCAGCCUGUAGAGAGGGAGAGAGAAAAAAAAGAGGGAGCCAAGCCAGCCGCUUAGGUCAAGUAAAAUGCGCGC
RNAcentral lists this long non-coding RNA (976 nucleotides) under Cucumis sativus (cucumber). RNAcentral's name for it is "long non-coding RNA (CSAT_LNC003000)". The record is from RNAcentral. Lineage: Eukaryota; Viridiplantae; Streptophyta; Magnoliopsida; Cucurbitales; Cucurbitaceae.